GUGGGGAAUAUUGGACAAUGGGCGAAAGCCUGAUCCAGCCAUGCCGCGUGUGUGAAGAAGGUCUUCGGAUUGUAAAGCACUUUAAGUUGGGAGGAAGGGUAGUAACCUAAUACGUUGCUACUUUGACGUUACCGACAGAAUAAGCACCGGCUAACUUCGUGCCAGCAGCCACGGUAAUACGAAGGGUGCAAGCGUUAAUCGGAAUUACUGGGCGUAAAGCGCGCGUAGGUGGUUCAGUAAGUUGGAAGUGAAAUCCCCGGGCUCAACCUGGGAACUGCUUUCAAAACUGCUGAGCUAGAGUACGGUAGAGGGUGGUGGAAUUUCCUGUGUAGCGGUGAAAUGCGUAGAUAUAGGAAGGAACACCAGUGGCGAAGGCGACCACCUGGACUGAUACUGACACUGAGGUGCGAAAGCGUGGGGAGCAAACAGGAUUAGAAACCCCUGUAGUCC
RNAcentral lists this ribosomal RNA (450 nucleotides) under uncultured bacterium. RNAcentral's name for it is "partial 16S ribosomal RNA". It matches the Rfam family "Bacterial small subunit ribosomal RNA", at positions 354 to 796 of the family's 1533-position model. The record is from RNAcentral.